AGUCGAGAAUUUUUCUCAAUGGGCGCGAGCCUGAAGGAGCGACGCCGCGUGGGGGAUGAAGGGUUUCGAUCCGUAAACCCCUGUCAUUCGUGAACAAUGGUUGCGAUUGAACAUUUCGCAACUUGAUAGUAACGGAAGAGGAAGGGACGGCUAACUCUGUGCCAGCAGCCGCGGUAAUACAGAGGUCCCGAGCGUUGUUCGGAUUCACUGGGCGUAAAGGGUGCGUAGGUGGCCUGAAAAGUUUGAUGUGAAAGCUCAGGGCUUAACCCUGAAAUGGCAUUGAAUACUGUCGGGCUGGAGGUUUGGAGGGGGGACUGGAAUUCUUGGUGUAGCAGUGAAAUGCGUAGAUAUCAAGGGGAACACCAGUGGCGAAGGCGAGUCCCUGGACAACACCUGACACUGAGGCACGAAAGCUAGGGGAGCAAACAGGAUUAGAUACCCUGGUAGUCCUAGCCCUAAACGGUGCGCGCUUGCUGUAAGAGGAAUCGACCCCUCUUGUGGCGAAGCUAACGCGAUAAGCGCGCCGCCUGGGGAGUACGGUCGCAAGAUUAAAACUCAAAGAAAUUGACGGGGGCCUGCACAAGCGGUGGAGUAUGUGGCUUAAUUCGAUGCAACGCGAAGAACCUUACCUGGCCUUGACAUGCAUUUGGUAGAACCAUGAAAGUGGGACGACCCCGCAAGGGGAGGAUGCACAGGUGCUGCAUGGCUGUCGUCAGCUCGUGUCGUGAGAUGUUGGGUUAAGUCCCGCAACGAGCGCAACCCUUGUGUCCUGUUGCCACCCCCACGAGAGUGGGGAGCACUCUGGACAGACUGCCUCGCUUAAACGGGGAGGAAGGUGGGGAUGACGUCAAGUCAGUAUGGCCCUUACGGCCAGGGCUGCACGCGUACUACAAUGCCCGGUACAGAGGGAAGCAAGACCGUCAGGUGGAGCAAAUCCCAGAAAACCGGGCCCAGUUCAGAUUGUCGUCUGCAACUCGACGGCAUGAAGUUGGAAUCGCUAGUAAUGGCGCAUCAGCUACGGCGCCGUGAAUACGUUCCCAGGCC
This 1044-nucleotide ribosomal RNA is filed under the name uncultured Verrucomicrobiota bacterium. RNAcentral describes it as "bacterial SSU rRNA". It matches the Rfam family "Bacterial small subunit ribosomal RNA", at positions 353 to 1380 of the family's 1533-position model. Lineage: Bacteria; Pseudomonadati; Verrucomicrobiota. The record is from RNAcentral.